GUUCGAGAAGUAUCAUGGGCGACUGUCCUUCCCCGAGCCUGGCUCAAACGCUCCUCUGCUUCGUCGGCCACCCAUGCGCACGGUGGCGGCGGCGGCUUCCUCGUCUCUUCGUUCCGGCGACCGCCCCCCUGCCAUCGCUCCCAACGAUUUCGACGCGGAUUUGGCGAGGAUGAUGGAGGCGCUGGAGGCCAUGGACUCUCUCUCUCUCUCCCGUCGGACCAGCAAAUCAACAUCUCUUCCGCCGCGAGCUCCAGGCGCUAGCAAAUGUCGCCUGCAGUCCCUCCCCUCGGCAAGGCGUCGUCCUGAAUUUCCCCCCUCCGAUACACGCUUCUCUUCUCGCGGAUCGGUCGCUGCGGGAUUUGUUGUCAUUUGAUUCCGGCAGAUGAUUAAAUGGAUGUUUGUUGUGGAUUAGGUGGCUGGGAUUGACGAGAUGGGCACCACUCUCUGCCUCCCAACACCAGGCAAGUUGUUUCUGAGGGCAUCGGUGCCGGUCGGGGAGGAUCAGCAGAUGUUUGAUGAACUGUUCUGAAGAAAUCACGUGGAAUCUCUAGGCUUGUACAUCUUAAUCAUUUAUAGAGACAUGCUAUUCAAGGUAGUGGCUACAAGACUUGCUGCUUCUAUUCAACUAGAAACCAUUUAAUCUUAACCAAAACGUGCCCGCGCGUGGGGUGCGUCGGGAAGGUCGAGAAGGGAAUGGCCACCAUCGGGAUUUUAGGAGAUACCAGAUGUCGAUACUGGGAUUGUGGCUGUGGCUGGAGAGUUGGAUCCAAAAGAGCUUUGCUAAUGGCUGAAAAGGAAGACUCGAAGGACGUCAAAAUUGUCAGCCCUGAUCCACCAGCUGAGAAUCAUAAUCAGAAAAUGAUAUUGGUUCUUGGAAGCAGUACAAGAGCUGGGGACACUAGACUACACCUUCAGCUCCACCAUUACCGGAUCAAUUGUCCUGGGCUCUAGCACCAUAAGGAAUUGAGUCUGACGAUAAGGAUCUACAGCCGAUUGAGGAGCAGAUCUUCACCUUUAGGGAGCUCGCAGCAGCCAUGAGCAAGUUCAGAGCCGAUUGCCUUCUAGGUGGCUUCAGACCAUAACAGCGAAGGAAAAGCCUCUGCUGAUUAUUGCAGAAGAUUUAGAAGUGAAGCACUGGGUACCUUGAUUAUUAACAAGCUUCGCAUCCACAUGAAGGUAUGGAGAGAUUGCCGCCGAGGUGGGGGAGAAGGAGAACUGGAAAUGCCCGAAAUGGGUUGGUGAUUGCAAGUGCAGCAACUUCAUGGUGAAGAGAGGUGAGUCACCGACUGGGAAAAUCUACCUUGCUGCCAAAGCAUCUGGGUGCUCCUCUGUCCGGGAGUUGCUAAAUAAGGGAAAAGAAGCUGUGGCUGAUGCACUGAAGUUAAUUGGUACAGAGAAGCAUCAGGGCAACCCUAAGGACAGACGAUCAUGUCGGUGAAUUACCAGUUGAAAUAGUUCUACCCAGGGGUACUCUGCUGACUCGUAUUGCAGGUGUAGAGCUGCGGCCUGAAGAUGUAGGCCGUGCCAUUCAGUUUUUGGAGUUCUGCCGCUCCUUUGGGUUGGUAAUUAUAGAAAGCAAGUGAUAAGCUUAUUUAUAGUAUGAAAGUUACUUGCUAGUGCAAUAAGAUGUUGUCGUAUUUGGACUUACAUGUCUCCCAGUUUGACCAGUAAAAUAAGAUGUUGUCAUAGAAAAUAACGGCUAAUAUAGUUAGAUAUAUAUCUAGAGGCUUCAAAAUUCUUUGUGAUUAUGAUCUGUAUACCUGAUUUCAUGUACCUCCAGAAAUGUCCAUAGUUGUCUUAAAUUAAUCUUAUAUCUCUAACAGGCACAGAGAAGUUCUGGGUGUGAGAAUGAAUAUGGAUCUGCUGGUGCAGCAAUUGGGAAUCAUUUCGUGUUGCAUUGAUGCAUCAACUCCUCACUUCAAAGCUGGUUUGCAGUACCUAGUUAUGGAUACUUAGAUUGGUUAAUAAUGUUAUUGAGCACAAAAAGUUCAUUGGCGUUAGUCUAGUAUCUUAGUCAUGUCCCCGUUAGUACUGUACUGUGAUUCUCAAUUUUUAAUCGAAAGAUAGUUUCAUUUGCAACAGUUGACAAUCUGGCACCAAACUUAGAGUUUUGUUUCCAUAGUUUAAAAUAUUAAUCUGUUCUUAGUAUGUUUGCUUGCUUUUAGAGUGUUCCUUCUGUAUUUUAAAUGGAAUGAUAUAUGUGGCAAAUGAUUUAAACAGAUUUUUCAAAUUUGGAAGGAGCAAGCAGAACAAAUUCUCAAUGACAUAACUGGAGAUUUUGAAGACCGGGUGGUGCCUUCACUUGUGGCGAAUCUGCACAUUAAAAGGUGAAAAGUCAUCCUGGCCAUCCAUUCUACUCUAGAAUAUACUACUCUAGUCUCUCCCCCGGUAGGGACCUGGAUUCAGUGAAGUUACAUCACUGAAUCCUUCUCCCCCUAGUAGCCAUCCAACCUUCACUAGAAUUUACUACUCUAGUCUCUCCCCUAGUAGCCAUCCAAUCUUCACUAGAAUGUACUUCAGAAUGCAACCAAGCGGUUACAUCAUCUAUUAUAGAAGAAGGAGUACAAUGCCGUUAAGACGGCUACAACGCCACAAGUGGCUCAAGAAAACUGAAAACACUACGCCGCUACAAGCAACCCACUCACCCUAAGGGCCGACAAGGCAAAACUUCCCCUACACAGCACGAACUGCCUCCUAAAGAACAUGGGUGUGAAUGCUCCAGCACGAGUGAGAAACGCCGUUAAAGACCACAUCGUUCUGGUGUCUCCAGAUAGACCAAAAGACCACAGUCCUGAAGUCCUUUUGGGCAUCAUGAGGAACCGAUCUGGAGGCCCACCACUCGCGGAUGUUCGAGUCGCCCACGGGCAUCCAAUCCAGGUGCCCCCACAACGUCAUAAUGGGCCCCCACAACUUAAUAACGUCUCCGGCUCUUGGUCACAAAGCGGGCAUCGGGCAGGAUGCGGCAAACCCCGUCGUUGAAGCCUGUCAGCCAUCCAGCAGCGGUUUCGGACCGUGAGCCAAGCGAAGAAGCGACACCGCAUAGGAGCCCUGGAGUGCCAAACCGGCCCGGCCAGUGGAUCGGUCAUCUUCGCAGCGAAGAGAUUAGAGUAUGCCGACUUGGCCGAGUAAGAACCAUGACUGGUCUAGUUUCAUAGCAAGGUGUCGUGCCCACUAUCCGGAAGCUGGAAACGCAGGAGCUGCUCCCACAGAAUCAGAAACUCGCCUAUGGCCUCCACUCCCAAGUCCGGCCCCACAUCUGAGAUCCAGGCACCCAACACUCCAUCUCGAACCGAACGGGUGCGUAAGAUGCGUGGGCGAAUACCCGCUACAUGCGAAGGAAAGUGGUCCCGGUUCCUACUACCAUCCAACCACCUAUCGGUCCAAAAGAGAGUACUCCGAUCGUCCCCAAGCCGAGAGGAACUGGCCGCCUCAAAGAUGGCAUCCACCAGCUCCGAAGACCGAAAGGUGAGCUCCUGCCACGGCUUGGUGUUGUCAACCCUCUCAAGCCACCUCCAGCGCACCCGCAACACCGCAUUCAGGUUAGGGAUGCCAAGUCCUCCAAACUGCUUAGGCAUGCACACCGAGGGCCAUGCAACCACACAAUGGCCACCAUGGACAUCCUUCCUCCCUUUCCAAAGAAAGCCUCGACAGAUCUUCUCCACUCCUUUGAUGGUCUUCACCGGCAAGUCGAGCGCCAUCAUCGAGUGAACCGGCAUCGCAGUGAGUGUAGAUAUGACGAGAAUGAGCCAGCCACCCUUGGAUAAAAGAGGCGCCUUCCACGAAGCUAGGCGCGUCUCCACCCUGUCCAGGUGCCUUGUCGAGCUCCUGGGAGCGGACAACAGCCCAGAUUUCCUCCUCCGUGAAGUCAGCCUCCAACAAGCUAAGAUCAC
Brachypodium distachyon (stiff brome) is the source of this 3890-nucleotide long non-coding RNA. RefSeq lists it as uncharacterized. Lineage: Eukaryota; Viridiplantae; Streptophyta; Magnoliopsida; Poales; Poaceae. The record is from RefSeq and is a predicted model, not a curated record. The transcript is spliced from 10 exons.